UGCUGGACCAACCUGCCUGCUCGU
This 24-nucleotide non-coding RNA is filed under the name Mus musculus (house mouse). Lineage: Eukaryota; Metazoa; Chordata; Mammalia; Rodentia; Muridae. The record is from RNAcentral.